RNAcentral lists this ribosomal RNA (253 nucleotides) under uncultured bacterium. RNAcentral's name for it is "partial 16S ribosomal RNA". It matches the Rfam family "Bacterial small subunit ribosomal RNA", at positions 524 to 776 of the family's 1533-position model. The record is from RNAcentral.
UACGGAGGGUGCAAGCGUUGUUCGGAAUUACUGGGCGUAAAGAGUGCGUAGGCGGCUUGGCAAGUUGGAAGUGAAAUCCCGGGGCUUAACCUCGGAAUUGCUUUCAAAACUGCUUAGCUAGAGUAUGGUAGGGGAUAGUGGAAUUCCUAGUGUAGGAGUGAAAUCCGUAGAUAUUAGGAGGAACACCAGAGGCGAAGGCGACUAUCUGGGCCAUUACUGACGCUAAGGUACGAAAGCGUGGGGAGCAAACAGG